This 482-nucleotide ribosomal RNA is filed under the name uncultured bacterium. RNAcentral's name for it is "bacterial SSU rRNA". It matches the Rfam family "Bacterial small subunit ribosomal RNA", at positions 30 to 506 of the family's 1533-position model. The record is from RNAcentral.
UUGAACGCUGGCGGAAUGCUUUACACAUGCAAGUCGAGCGGCAGCGCGGGGGCAACCCUGGCGGCGAGCGGCGAACGGGUGAGUAACAUAUCGGAACGUACCCUAUCGUGGGGGAUAACACAUCGAAAGAUGUGCUAAUACCGCAUACGACCUGAGGGUGAAAGCGGGGGAUCGCAAGACCUCGCGCGACAGGAGCGGCCGAUAUCGGAUUAGCUAGUUGGUGAGGUAAAGGCUCACCAAGGCGACGAUCCGUAGCUGGUCUGAGAGGACGACCAGCCACACUGGAACUGAGACACGGUCCAGACUCCUACGGGAGGCAGCAGUGGGGAAUUUUGGACAAUGGGGGCAACCCUGAUCCAGCCAUUCCGCGUGAGUGAAGAAGGCCUUCGGGUUGUAAACUGCUUUUGUACGGAACGAAAAAGUCUUCUCUAAUACAGGGGGCGAAUGACGGUACCGUAAGAAUAAGCACCGGCUAACUACGU